CCUACGGGAGGCAGCAGUGAGGAAUAUUGGUCAAUGGGCGCGAGCCUGAACCAGCCAAGUCGCGUGAGGGAUGACGGCCCUACGGGUUGUAAACCUCUUUUGCCGGGGAGCAACGGGCGCCACGGGUGGCGCCCCUGAGAGUACCCGGAGAAAAAGCAUCGGCUAACUCCGUGCCAGCAGCCGCGGGAAGACGGAGGAUGCGAGCGUUAUCCGGAUUUAUUGGGUUUAAAGGGUGCGUAGGCGGAUCGUUAAGUCAGUGGUCAAAUUGAGGGGCUCAACCCCUUCCCGCCAUUGAAACUGGAAGACUUGAGUGUGUUUGAGGUAGGCGGAAUGCGUGGUGUAGCGGUGAAAUGCAUAGAUAUCACGCAGAACUCCGAUUGCGAAGGCAGCUUACUAAGCCAUAACUGACGCUGAAGCACGAAAGCGUGGGGAUCGAACAGGAUUAGAUACCCUUGUAGUC
RNAcentral lists this ribosomal RNA (460 nucleotides) under uncultured bacterium. RNAcentral describes it as "partial 16S ribosomal RNA". It matches the Rfam family "Bacterial small subunit ribosomal RNA", at positions 338 to 795 of the family's 1533-position model. The record is from RNAcentral.